This is a long non-coding RNA of Phyllostomus discolor (pale spear-nosed bat), 206 nucleotides long. RefSeq lists it as uncharacterized. The record is from RefSeq and is a predicted model, not a curated record. NCBI's taxonomy places the organism in Eukaryota, Metazoa, Chordata, Mammalia, Chiroptera, Phyllostomidae. The transcript is spliced from 2 exons.
CGCGACCGGGAAAGCAGGGAAUGAAAAAAGGUUUUAGGGGUUAAACUAGGGCUUAAACGUGUUGGGAAGCCAGACAGGCAAGAUGUGCAAUUGACUUAGACACAUCCAAGGAUAAUGAGGACUCAGGACCUGAGCAUCUCAUGUGGACAGCUGACCCACCUCUUCCAGGAGCUGUACAAGUAAAGUGAGCCUGUGUUAAUCUCUGA